GUCCUGUGGCGCAAUGGAUAACGCGUCUGACUACGGAUCAGAAGAUUCCAGGUUCGACUCCUGGCAGGAUCGCAGAUAUCAACUUUUUUUCAUCUUUCUUUUUUAGCGUUAAAUAUAUUUGAAUGGAAGGUUGCAUUAUCUCUCACAGGCCGCGGUAUUUUCUUGGAAAUGUACAAAAAGAAAUAGCCGCCCCCGGGUGGACUCGAACCACCAACCUUUCGGUUAACAGCCGAACGCGCUAACCAAUUGCGCCACGGAGGCCAUGUAAUAGGUCUAAAUUGUACCUUUAAAAUAGAGUCCUCCAUCAAAGUGUUAAACUUUCGAAAGAAAGGCAGCUCAGGACUACCAUUUCUUUUCAGAUUAUUCUUUGUAGUUUGUUUUCUGAACAAAUUUAGUAGAAUUUAACGAUGUUUCAGCAGCCUCCGUGGCGCAAUUGGUUAGCGCGUUCGGCUGUUAACCGAAAGGUUGGUGGUUCGAGUCCACCCGGGGGCGGAAAUACCUUUUUUGUAAUGUUAAACUAAACCAUAGUUAUGAAAUUAAUUUCCUUGAGCAAAAUGAUAUUAUACAAGAGGGGCAAGCUUUAUCUAUGUGCCAUCUUAGUAAAAAAAUAUGGGCACUUAAACAGAUCUUACAGCAUUUUACGAACUAUUCUUCCAAGUUCUGAAGAAAGUCUCAUAUUUAGAGAGACAUUCGGACAAAAUGAAAAUGUGACGCGGGGUUGUCAUCGGCCUCCGUGGCGCAAUUGGUUAGCGCGUUCGGCUGUUAACCGAAAGGUUGGUGGUUCGAGUCCACCCGGGGGCGGCACAACAUUUUUUUCCAAUUUUUCUGAUUUUUAUUUCGAUAUUAGUAGUGAAGAAGCUCUUCUAUAAAGCAAGCAAAGGUGGAAUCGCGUUAAAGCUGAUAUCAAUCCAAGGUCGCAUUCACGAAACCAGCAGAGCAGCUCGUUGUGUUUUAUGUUUUGCAACUUCCUCUCUUCUACCGCUCCCUUCCUCUUCUGACUACGAUUCCAGUUGUGGAUCCAGUUUGUACAAUAACAUUUUGAGCGCUGGGUCAGUCAGUCCGCUGCGAAUUUAUGCAGUGCAAUGGACUGGAGGCGAUCCUACUGCAUUUAUGUAAAGCGUUUCGUCACGAUUCGCGCUGAAGGAGGAAAUAGCAAAUGAAUUGGAAUCAGCGGAAUCGGCAGAUGGGAUGAUGAGUUGUGUUACAGCCCCUGAAAAACCCUCAGCAUGGUGAAUAAGAAGCGCAGGGAAGGGGAGAGAGAAACUACACAUAUAUUUUUCAUGGCUAGUUUUCUGAAAUCUCACGUCGCCCAAUUAGAACCCUCAUGGCAUACAAAAGCAAUAAUAAAUAACAGCGUCUAAUGGCAACUAUAACAAGUAUGGGCCCACCAUGCAUGCAUACUACAUAUUUAAAUGGGGGUACAGUCCAUAAUAUCAUUGUAAGCCGACUUCGAUAACUUUUGAACAUAAAAAAAGCUGCCUCGAAUCGGUUAGAUGUGGUUAUAUAUUCCUAUAAUCUAUAGAUCUACUCAAGAGUCAAAGCAAUCAUUAGCUAAAAUUAAGUUCCCAUAAAUGUAUACCAUUAUAUAAUUAUUGCAAGCACUGUCUGUAUGCCAUCUUGUUAGCAAGUACAUCAAAAUAUUGCAACGUUUUGUUUUAGCUCUGCCCACAAAUUCGCUUUGAUUGCAGUGCAUUAACCGCAUUUUGCGCCAUAUAAACAAAAUAGUCGACAUCUCAUAUAGGAAACCAUAUCUAUACUAAAUAUACUAUACUGCUAAAUAGUCUCUGUAUAUAUGUAUGUGUGUGUGUGGUUUUAUUUUUAAGGUUAAGUUCAGUCAUUCGCCUCGUUUCGUUUUAUUUGCAUGACAAACAAAACGUUUUUAAUAUUUCGACGUCGUCCGUUGCUGUCGGUUCGGUUAGGUUCGGUUCGGCCAUUCAAAUUUCAAAGUUAUGCAUACGAAGAUUUUUUUUGCAUUUUCUAAACGUGCUUUUAUUUGCAUUUGCAUUUGCCUGCUGGCCCCAACCCCAGCCCCAACCAUAGACCCAGACGAUUAGCCACGGGCUGCGUCAGCUUCUGCCCGCGACAGUAUUUCAUUUCAAUAUGGAAAUAUGUGCUCGUAUUUUCCACAGACUCGAGUAUUGUUUCAGCUCCGUCUUCGGUCUGCCUUCAUUAGGGGACUUUCAGACAAUGCAGCGCCGUUGUAACUGCACUCGGAUCAAAUUCAUGACACGAUUGCCAAGGCCAACUGAUAAAGAUGGAGGAGGAAAACUAAACCAAAACGAAAACGAAAAAAAGCUGUUUCGCCCAACGUGGGGCUCGAACCCACGACCCUGAGAUUAAGAGUCUCAUGCUCUACCGACUGAGCUAGCCGGGCAGUGUAACCUGCGCUGGACAAUAUAUCUUGCUGAAAUAAUGGGAUGGAAGAUUCAGAAUAUGAUCUAGAUCUAUUUAUCUUUUAAUUUAUUUAAAAAUUCUUGUGAUUUGUCUUUGAAAGGAAAAAAGUAUGAGAAAGAUUCUUUGGUGCUUCUUUGGUUUUUAAAAAUGUCGAACGAUUAUAAGAAUAGUAAUUUAAAUGUACGUUCUAAAGUUUUCUUCCUUAAUUCCCCUUUGUUUCUAUAAUAUUUUGAAACUAAUAAAAUAAUUCUAGAAAAUAAAAAAAGGUUAGUUUCGCCCAACGUGGGGCUCGAACCCACGACCCUGAGAUUAAGAGUCUCAUGCUCUACCGACUGAGCUAGCCGGGCAAUGUGAAUUGGGCAGGACCAUAUAUCUUUCUGAAAUUCGUGAUAAGGAUAUGAACUGAUCAUGGUUAAUGUAUUUUAUGCUUUCUAAAAAUCUAUAUUUUGUGUCCAUGAACUUUACUUUUGUUCUAAACAUAUUAAUUUAGCUAUCUUGCCCAACUCCAAAGUAAAAUAAAAAUAUAUUUAAAACAUAUGCAAAAUAGUAUCUCCUGGCCCAUGGGGGGAUCGAACCCGCGGCCUUCGCGUUAUUAGCACGACGCUCUAACCAGCUGAGCUAAUGGGCCCCAUAACGCCAUGUACUUUGUAGGACUUUUUGAAAUAUCUAUGACACUAAUAUAUUACAUACUUUAUUGAAGAUAAGAAAAGCUAUAACUCUCCUUUAGAUAGAGAAUAAGAAUAGACAUACUAAAAUUUGAAUGGUAGCAAUGAUUUCUAAAGGUAUUACCUAUAUAAUCUUUUGCCGAUAUUCCUUAUCGAUCACUUGAGAUUUCUGAUGAAUUCCCAUGUUCGGGACCUUGAUAACAGCCCGGCUAGCUCAGUCGGUAGAGCAUGAGACUCUUAAUCUCAGGGUCGUGGGUUCGAGCCCCACGUUGGGCGAAAAUCCAUUUUUGUUUCCCCACAUUUUAAAUUCACAUUUUUAUGUUAUGUUCCUGCAUCAAAUACAUUUUACUCCAUACGUACAUAUAAGCCUGUGCCUCUUCUUCUGUUCUCUUGUUUUUAUUUUAAUCAAAGUUCUGUUUGUUUUACCCUGGGAACCUGCCCCAACAUAUUUGGCCUUGUCUGUGGCAGUCAGUCCAGACGCUGCCAGUGGCAUACUGAUUGAGAGUGUGCGAGGGGGUUGGACAACAUAAUGCGUGAUGCGCCUACCCAUGGGGCAUGGGGAAAGGGGAGCGGGCCAGCAUGUGCGCAGCAACCGCCGCCGACAACAUAAACAAUUUGUCUGCACAAAUAAGCUUUGCUCUGGAUGUUUUUCCCUUUCUUUUUCUUUCAAUUUGUAUGCACAUAAUGAAUGCUCUUGAAAAGGUUCCUUCAAAUGCUCUUUCUACUAACAAUUGUUUUCCAAAAGCACACGAAAAGCAGCUUGAGAUUCAUCAGGUUUCUAAGAUAAUUCAUACACGAAUCGCUUUCCAUAUCAACCAAAUUGAAAUUGAGGGUAUCUACCCUCUAUCAUCGCUUGUAUCAAUAUGCUCCACUGUCUGAAUCGUAGGGCAACAGAAACCGUCUGCCAGGCUGAUUAUCUGCCCGUUUACCCCAUGGUUCCCCACGAGUCUUCAUCAGCUUCUGCUCUAGCUCCAGCUUUAGUCUGUCUACCGUCUCUCUCUCUCUCUCUCUCUCCCCCUGAGUAUUUUGUUUUGUUUCCUUUCUCACAUUGUUUCGUUUUAAUAUUUUAUAGCAAAUUACUUGGCCGAAGGCAAGCGGCGGCGUCAGACAGAACAGGGUAUGGUAGGGGGUUGUCAUGACUGCCACUGCCACUGCCACCGCCACCCCCACCCCCAUAACCAUUACCAUUUCCACUUCCACAGCCUUCGCUCGGAUCCCUACUCCCAGGGCCCUGCAUCCAGUGCAUUGAGGUAGGCGCGUAAUUUUAUACAUCGUUUCCAUUAGGAAGCAGUAAAAUGUGCUAGAGCCAGACAAUAGGGUCCGCCGAGCGGCCAAGAAAACAAUUCAACUCUGGGAAGAGGGAUACGCAGACACAAAUAGGGACAGGUCCGCGACAAUGAUACCCAAAGGUUUGGAAGGGCGGGUGGGUGUAAAACCGUACAGAGAGUGUCUAGACUCUAGAAGAGGCUAAAAAUAAAUCAGGUGGGACCUUUGCCACGUGUACGGAGUUUUUUUGUUCACGGUUCGCGAUGCGUUAGGGGCCAACUCGCGCUUCUGACGCCAGCAAGCACCAAGCCCGGCUAGCUCAGUCGGUAGAGCAUGAGACUCUUAAUCUCAGGGUCGUGGGUUCGAGCCCCACGUUGGGCGAGUAAUCUCUUUUUCUUCUAUUUUUCUAUAUUUGUGUCGUAUGUUGUUUAGCAACUAAUAUUUAUUCUAAGCAGACCAGCUGACAAAUGCUUAACUAUUACCUAUGGCUGGCAGUAAACAACGGCCCAUUAGCUCAGCUGGUUAGAGCGUCGUGCUAAUAACGCGAAGGCCGCGGGUUCGAUCCCCCCAUGGGCCAGGAGUUACUUUUUUGUUUGUUUAUAAUUUUUGUAUUAUUAUUCUGUCAUUCCUAAAUGAUUCUUGAUAAGUUUUGAUUUUAUCUCAAGCCCUUUUUUAGUCCUCUCCUAUGUGAACUUUAUAAAUAUUAAACUUUUGAUCAAGUGAAAAGGCAAAGUAAGGAUCAAAAAAUAUUAUUCUGGCCCAUGAGGGGAUCGAACCCGCGACCUUCGCGUUAUUAGCACGACGCUCUAACCAACUGAGCUAAUGGGCCUCUUGACGCCAUCUUGUAUUCAGGAUGUUUUUCAAAAAAGCUGGACAAAUUUAAAUUUCUUAUGUUAUAGACGAUCCAAAAGAAGAAUCAAUACUAGAUCGCACCAGCGAUAUGGAAGCUACUCACAAAUAUGUGGAAUUCUUAUAUUGCAAUCAACAAAGUUAAUUAAGGCUAUGUUCCGGUACUUAUUGGGACUUAUUGGGUACUCGAAAUCCAGUAAGAACAUCGAUGAACCAAAAUAUUUCGAAAAAAGGAGAAUCAACUCUGGCCCAUGGGGGGAUCGAACCCGCGGCCUUCGCGUUAUUAGCACGACGCUCUAACCAGCUGAGCUAAUGGGCCAUGUGAUCACAGCGGUCAAUAUGUCCAAAUUGACUCUCUCGUAGCAAAGCGGUUAGGAAUGCAAGUGCUAAACUUAAUAGAAUAGAAUAGCUUAACAGAAUUUCAAUUUAAUGACUUACCAAUGGGAUGAUUGUUAGUAUAGUUUUAAUUUAUUGCACGCUGAAGACAGAAAUCGAUCGCAUAACUAUGGCCAUAUCACUGUAAUAAAAGAGAAAAAAUAUUCGGUCAUAAAUAAAACACACAAACAUGUACUACACAAUGGAAGAAUGUCAGAAAAGGCAUCAAUGAAAUAUUUGUUCCCAUGCAUGCACCAUGAAAGGAAAACUAAUAAAGAAAUAAAGAGAAAAUAGCCAUAAGAAGGGAGAGAAAAUAAGUGGGAAACGUAGAGCGAUGAAUGCAUGCUUCGUGGAUGCAAAAUGAAGUGAUAUGGGGGCCAUAUGAGGCGGUGGUGGAGGAAAACCGAGAGCCGACGCAAUACGUUUUCUGUGGUGUAGGUUAGGGCAAAAAAAGCUCCCCCACGCACACACUCACACACACACGAGUGUACAGGGAUACAGAUACGUGUGAUAGGGGUAGACGGGGGUGAAGGGGUGCAUACUCGUAACUUCAAUAGGCCUGUCGUCCCGUCCGACAACUUGCAAUUGUCGAAGAAUAAGCGUAGAAACAGGCAGACGGUGCAAAAGAGCUGCAAGAGAUGAAAGCAAAAUGCUGAAGAAUUGCAACGAAGCAGACUACGACCGGAUGACGAUGAGGAGGAGGAGGCGGUGCUGUGGUGCAGUGGUACUGUGGUACUGUGGUGGGGACAGACGCAGAGGCAGGCAUUCUGCCCGAUGUCAGGGGCAUGAAGUUGCAAUGAAAAUGAAAUUGCAAGCGGCCCAUAGACAUAGACAGACACAGAGACAGGCGGGAUAUAUUUAUACAUGUCGCUGUCCCUGUCUGUGUGCGUAUAGCCGUGCAUCUGUGUGUGGUGCACAUUAUAUUUAGUUACUUGUGUCUGGUUCUACUGCAUUCUAUGCGGCAGUUUCUAGAUAUGUAUCUGCGAGAUACAUUUCAGUCGGAUAGAGAACCCAGCGAGAACUCUGCUGAACACCCAACACAACACAAUUCUCUCUGCGCUAUUUUCGCUUUCAACGACCGUUUUGUCCGUCCGUCCCUCCCUGUACGCCGAUGGAUGAUGCGACUGACGGGCCGAAGUUGCAACCCAAAAUGGAGGACGAAGAUGUCUGUAGCAUGCAGUGUAUGUAGUUUGCUGCCAGACCAGUUUCCGAUUGUUGCAGGUUAAUGGGGCUCUGAAGAGGGGCCUGUUUCCAAGCCAAGAAUAUAGUUUUAUAGAGGGCUUAAGAUCCUCUAUUUUGCGUCUUCGGAGUUGUCAACUCUUAGCCAGAAUUUAACCAGUCCAGAAUAAAACUAAAAGCUCUUGAAGCUUACAAACUUUGAUACAUAGUGUGACAUUCUUCUUUGCUCCGAAAUCUCACUUGGAGCAAGAUGAAGGUCAAUAUUGUCAAUACAGACUUUUUUUGUAAGCAAAUUACACAAUUUACGACACUUGUAAGUCCAAAGUAAUUGGAGUGUACCUCUAGAAUCUAGACCUGCAUCAACUGCACUACACUGGCAGAGUGCUUAGAAUGAAUGCAUAAUAUAUAAACUAAAGAAAGCAGGGCUCCCAAAAAUCUAGGAAUCACGUUUGUUUCAGGUUCAUGCAGGGCUACAUAACCAUUAAGUUGAAAUCGGUAGUAGCUAGAGAACCUCUGGAUUGUCCAGAGUCUAGACUCAUGCAUUAAGUACUGAAAGGUGGAGAAGGGGGCAAGGGUGGGGUAGUACAAGUCGCUGAACGAGUUAACCGCGUCGCCAGCAGAGCCAGUGGCAGCGAAGCGACGCCUCUGUUGAGGCCUACAAACACACAUAGGAAACGAGAAGAACGUGGGCAGAAAGAGAGCCAGUGAGGAGAGAGACGACGGCGACCAAAAGCAAGACGGAGAGCAUCACACGAACGGAGAAUGUAGUGGUGUAUGUAAAUGGAGAAAACGACAGCUAAACAAACAGCAUGAACAACAAAACUACACAAAGUAGAAUGAGAAGCAGAAAAACAGAAACAACAACAACAAGAACUUAUUGUUGUUCCGCUUUGACACAGCUUUUCGUUCGCUUUCAGCCGAAGCAGACGAUGAAAACAAAAAAGUACGUAAAAACAGACCGUCGAAGAGAGAGACGAAGAGCGGCAUAAAGUCGAAGAACAGCCAGCCGAAAGCGAAACAUCAGAUAGCACAGAGAAGCAGAGAUGGGCAAGGAAGACAAGACACUCGAAAAAGAGGAUGCAACUUACCGAAAAGGAGACGAUAGAUGGUUGAACACAAAUAUUAUUUACAUUUAACACUUUGUAAUUUUGCUAUUUUACAUAGAACUCGCACACACACAAGCACAAACACAAACACUUACAGGCAGCUCGCUGGCUCUCUGGGACGCUUGCGACAGUUAUUCUCACACAGAGUUUAAGGCCUACUAUCAUCCCAUCACAGAUCGAAUCCCAACUUAAGCGCACUUUUCUUUAUAAAAACACACGACACUUUUUUUAGUUAUAAACAAAAUAUGAGAGCAGCGCGGCUAGUUUCGAGGGAUUUCUGUUUCUCUUUGUCAUUUGCCGCACAAGUAAAACGUUUGCAUUUGGAUUCCGAAGCCGCAACGGACUUUCCCGAGUUCAGAAACAAAUUCGACGCAAUCUUUCCGUUCCGUUUCCGCGGGCACGUUCAAUCCGUUCGCGAGUUGGGGAGCGACAUGCCCGAAAUGUUUCAUUCAUGCUCACGAGCUUGGGGGCGGCAAGGCCGAUUCAAAUACGCCCGCUUUCGAAUGUUGCACGAAUGUGUGUUGCCGGUGAGUUAGAAAAGGGAAUGGCCCACAAGCGAAUCGGCCCAAAAAACACAAGGCAUGCAAGGUAGAAUCCACCCUGUUACUAAACAUACUGUGAAGAGAGCUCAUUUUUGCGUUUUAAGUAUGAGUCCGUUGGUGUUGCCGCUGGCUUUGGAGCCGUUGGGGCAGCUAACACUGCUAAUGGCACUGCUUGCAGUCGAUAACAAGGUUAUUUUACUUGAAUAACAAACCUGAUUGCAUAUAUGUGAAACUUUUGUCACUCGGUUUCCAACGGGUCCUGUGGCGCAAUGGAUAACGCGUCUGACUACGGAUCAGAAGAUUCCAGGUUCGACUCCUGGCAGGAUCGCAGAAAUAUCUUUUUUUUAAUCUAAUCGUUUUUUCUAUUUAGUUAUUUUGUAGUUGUUCAUUGUUAGACUUUUUUAAGUCAAAAACCUUUUCGUUAACUUUUCUAAACCAUUUUCCAAACUUAUUCCAAUUCAAAACGACAGACAGACAACAAAAAUAAAUUCAAAAAGUUAAUUUCGCCCAACGUGGGGCUCGAACCCACGACCCUGAGAUUAAGAGUCUCAUGCUCUACCGACUGAGCUAGCCGGGCAUUUGGACAGACGUUGGCAAAGUAUAUUUCUGACCUGCAUUGUGACCAUAGCUUUUUCCCAUUGAUUUCGUAUUGACUCGUUUCUUAAGAACUUACGUUACUUUCAUUUCAGACGUUUGUGUGAUAAUAUUAUUACAAAAAUAUUCAAUUUCCAAAGCUUGUUUAGUGAAAAGCUCAUAUUAUAGAGCUUAUAAAUCUUGGCAACCAUUGGACUCAGAGCUGAUAUGCGGUCCUGUGGCGCAAUGGAUAACGCGUCUGACUACGGAUCAGAAGAUUCCAGGUUCGACUCCUGGCAGGAUCGAAUUUUUUUUAUUUCUUGAAAUUACUUGUCACAUUUUUUGUACUUCUUCAGAGAAUGGAACUUGCUUAGGUCUCGAUUUCGCACUUACACCUUACACCCCCCGUACGUGUCAUUCAAACGUGUUUGAGUGAGUCUCUGAGUUUUGCGCAUUAAGAAAGCAGCCAAGAUGUGGGGUAGGGCCACGGAUAUGAUGGGGAUUUGGGAUUCAAUGACAAAGUGCAGCUGCGGUGGCUCAGCGCAAAUCAAAUGGUAUAGUGUUGAGAGCGUGUGGAUUAUUUGGCGCUUUAUGUUAAACAGCUGAAACUUUCCACUCAGCAACCAGAGGGGUUAGAUGCGGCUUAUAGGACGCCAAGGACUUUUAAGGUGAGAUUUAAGCGAUACCUUUCGAGGGGGACAGUGCUGUUCUUCUGCGUGUGACUGCUGAAAAUUAUUUUGAACAAAUGAACAUCAAUACACAUGCAAAAAUAAAG
Molecule: transfer RNA, 9724 nt
Filed under: Drosophila guanche
Lineage: Eukaryota; Metazoa; Arthropoda; Insecta; Diptera; Drosophilidae
Rfam family: tRNA (bases 419-492)
Source: RNAcentral